RNAcentral lists this ribosomal RNA (789 nucleotides) under Microbacterium sp. CI65. Its description in RNAcentral is "bacterial SSU rRNA". It matches the Rfam family "Bacterial small subunit ribosomal RNA", at positions 24 to 825 of the family's 1533-position model. Lineage: Bacteria; Bacillati; Actinomycetota; Actinomycetes; Micrococcales; Microbacteriaceae. The record is from RNAcentral.
UCAGGAUGAACGCUGGCGGCGUGCUUAACACAUGCAAGUCGAACGGUGAAGCAGAGCUUGCUCUGUGGAUCAGUGGCGAACGGGUGAGUAACACGUGAGCAACCUGCCCCUGACUCUGGGAUAAGCGCUGGAAACGGCGUCUAAUACUGGAUACGAGCAACGGCCGCAUGGCCAGUUGUUGGAAAGAUUUUUUGGUUGGGGAUGGGCUCGCGGCCUAUCAGCUUGUUGGUGAGGUAAUGGCUCACCAAGGCGUCGACGGGUAGCCGGCCUGAGAGGGUGACCGGCCACACUGGGACUGAGACACGGCCCAGACUCCUACGGGAGGCAGCAGUGGGGAAUAUUGCACAAUGGGCGGAAGCCUGAUGCAGCAACGCCGCGUGAGGGAUGACGGCCUUCGGGUUGUAAACCUCUUUUAGCAGGGAAGAAGCGAAAGUGACGGUACCUGCAGAAAAAGCGCCGGCUAACUACGUGCCAGCAGCCGCGGUAAUACGUAGGGCGCAAGCGUUAUCCGGAAUUAUUGGGCGUAAAGAGCUCGUAGGCGGUUUGUCGCGUCUGCUGUGAAAUCCCGAGGCUCAACCUCGGGCCUGCAGUGGGUACGGGCAGACUAGAGUGCGGUAGGGGAGAUUGGAAUUCCUGGUGUAGCGGUGGAAUGCGCAGAUAUCAGGAGGAACACCGAUGGCGAAGGCAGAUCUCUGGGCCGUAACUGACGCUGAGGAGCGAAAGGGUGGGGAGCAAACAGGCUUAGAUACCCUGGUAGUCCACCCCGUAAACGUUGGGAACUAGUUGUGG